RNAcentral lists this long non-coding RNA (1044 nucleotides) under Crocodylus porosus (Australian saltwater crocodile). Its description in RNAcentral is "lncRNA (ENSCPRG00005003709.1)". Lineage: Eukaryota; Metazoa; Chordata; Crocodylia; Crocodylidae. The record is from RNAcentral.
GCGGGGAAAGGGAAACCAUAGUGUGGAAAAUUACAGAGACAGUCCACAUGAUCACUACCGAGUAUAAAAAGUCCCGAGGUACCAGGAUGAGCUGCAAUUCAUUAAAGGAGCUGCUAGAGAUUGCACCUUGAAUUCCCUAGCUGCCUGGUGAGGGCUGCCUAUCCAAACUGGGGCACUACAGCUGACAGCUGCAGUCAGAUCCUGGAUUUCUGUAGAAAAAGCCUGUUUUCUGGUGGUUUUUAGCAGUGGGAGUACAUUUUGGAUUGAGACUUUGCAUCAGGGAAAGGAAAAGCCGCACUUCAAGAGCUCUAGAAGACCCAUUGUAACUUCACCAGCCUCUCAGGAGCUACUCCUGAUUUACACCAGUUCCACUGAGACCUACAUGAUGGGGACAUUCUGCUGCUAUGAAAUCCCAAGCCAGCUCAUCCCUUUCCUCCCAGUGGAUUCCUGUAUCUCCCCCUGUUUCCAGGAUGUUCUGUAUCUGAGCAUCUCCUGGCAACAGUCCCCUGGGAAGCGGCUGUGACAUGCUGCUGCUCAGCAUUUCAAUCAGCCUAGGCAAAGCACAUCCACCUGGAUCCCCAAACUGAUGAUGUUUGAAGCACCAACCAACCAUGGCCUGUUCCAGCCUGCAGAAAAGCCACUUGGGAACCACCAAAAACAGCACCCCAUAAAACAGCAUCAACCUUCUGCGCCAUCCCAUUGGAGAAGCAAGGCAGGUCGAUGUUCAAAUGGACACACGGGAGUGUCAAACUUCCUGGGAUGUUUCUGGUAGAGUCAGGGAGCAAAACAACAUUUUAGAUGGUGGCGGGGAAGUAUGGAGGCACCUUUCUCGCAACCCGGAGAAACUUUCCUUCCAGACCUUCCCACGCUGGACCAGACUCUCAGCCUGAGUAAGCUGGCUGAGCACCGCUGAAGUCAGUGAGUGGAACUGCAUUAAUUGACACCGAGGGUUUGGCUCUUGGAGUUUGUCUCUACUUUGCUUGCUGUCUGCAUUUCUUUCUUGGCCCACCUCGACUUGCCCUCCGCCCCGCUCAACACUAAAGC